RNAcentral lists this ribosomal RNA (391 nucleotides) under uncultured bacterium. Its description in RNAcentral is "bacterial SSU rRNA". It matches the Rfam family "Bacterial small subunit ribosomal RNA", at positions 28 to 420 of the family's 1533-position model. The record is from RNAcentral.
GACGAACGCUGGCGGCGUGCUUAACACAUGCAAGUCGAGCGGUAAGGCCCUUUCGGGGUACGACGAGCGGCGAACGGGUGAGUAACACGUGGGUGACCUGCCCUCAGCUCUGGGAUAAGCCUGGGAAACUGGGUCUAAUACUGGAUAUGACUCCACGGUGCAUGUCGUGGGGUGGAAAGCCUUGUGCGGCUGAGGAUGGGCCCGCGGCCUAUCAGCUUGUUGGUGGGGUGANGGCCUACCAAGGCGACGACGGGUAGCCGGCCUGAGAGGGCGACCGGCCACACUGGGACUGAGACACGGCCCAGACUCCUACGGGAGGCAGCAGUGGGGAAUCUUGCGCAAUGGGCGAAAGCCUGACGCAGCGACGCCGCGUGAGGGAUGACGGCCUCGG